RNAcentral lists this ribosomal RNA (281 nucleotides) under Skeletonema marinoi. RNAcentral describes it as "partial Eukaryotic large subunit ribosomal RNA". It matches the Rfam family "Eukaryotic large subunit ribosomal RNA", at positions 382 to 730 of the family's 3401-position model. Lineage: Eukaryota; Bacillariophyta; Thalassiosirophyceae; Thalassiosirales; Thalassiosiraceae. The record is from RNAcentral.
AGAGAGUUAAAGAGUGCUUGAAACCGACAAGGGGAAACCCGGUUGUGCCCGGUGUCGUGCAGUUGACUCAGCCUUUACGGGUGCACUUCUGCUGCGCGGGUCAGCCGCCGCUGCAUGCGAGGGAGAAUCGUCCGGGGGGCUUCGGUGAGCCGGUACCUACCUCGCUUGUGGCGCCGUCUGACGUAACGGGCACCACCGACCCGUCUAGUAACACGGACCAAGGAGUCUGACAUGGGCGCGAGUACUCGGGUGUCAAGCCUGUGUGCGCAAUGAAAGUGAAG